This 486-nucleotide ribosomal RNA is filed under the name uncultured bacterium. RNAcentral describes it as "partial 16S ribosomal RNA". It matches the Rfam family "Bacterial small subunit ribosomal RNA", at positions 30 to 507 of the family's 1533-position model. The record is from RNAcentral.
AUUGAACGCUGGCGGCAUGCCUUACACAUGCAAGUCGAACGGCAGCACGGGUGCUUGUACCUGGUGGCGAGUGGCGAACGGGUGCGUAAUACAUCUGCACAUGUCCUGAUGUGGGGGAUAGCCCGUCGAAAGCCGGAUUAAUACCGCAUACGAUCUACGGAUGAAAGCGGGGGUGCUUUGAGCCUCGCGCCAUAGGGUUGUCGGCUGGCUUCUUAGCUAGUUGGUGGGGUAAUGGCAUACCACGGCGACGAUCAGUAGCUGGUCUGAGAGGAGGACAAGCAACACUGGGACUGAGACACGGCCCAGACUCCUACGGGAGGCAGCAGUGGGGAAUGUUGGACAAUGGGCGAAAGGCUGAUCCAGCAAUGCCGCGUGGGUGAAGAAGGCCUUCGGGUUGGAAAGCACUUCUGUCCGGAAAGAAAACCUUGGCCCUAAUACGGUCGGGGGAUGACGGUACCGUAAGAAUAAGCACCGGCUAACUACGUG